Long non-coding RNA from Actinia tenebrosa (Australian red waratah sea anemone), 529 nucleotides. The record is from RefSeq and is a predicted model, not a curated record. Lineage: Eukaryota; Metazoa; Cnidaria; Anthozoa; Actiniaria; Actiniidae.
GGAGGCUACGUGCACACUGGAUUCGACCAGAUUCAAUUGUUCCUGCCUCCUGUCAUGGCUGCCGUCAUGUGAUGGUGCAAAGCCUCUGGAGCAUGUACGAGCCAGGAUGACGAGAGACCCCACUUCAAUACUGCGGAUGCAAAAAAAAAAACAUCACUCGAACAGCACAACGUACGAACACUUGUUUUCUACGAAAGUCCACUUAUAAAACCGUUCAGAACUGAACAUGAGGUACCAGGGUUGUCACUGCCAGUACAACAGUCAUCUGAUGCCCCGGCCAAGCAACCAAAUAAAGGGGUUUCUCAUGCCGCAGGAUUUCUUCAAUCAAAAAAGAUUUUAAAGGGAGCUAAUAAUUCCAACACAGCAGUAGCUCACGUCCUGUUGUCCUAAUUAGACCCCAGGGGCGUGGCCCAAUGAUAUGAUCCUAAGCUACUGAUAUCUAUUCAUACAUCCCCUGUGAUAUUUAUCGCCAACAGCCAAAUCAAUCACGCGAAACACUGCAUCUUUCUGCACUCGUACUACAAAUUAA